UCGAACGGUAACAGAGAGAAGCUUGCUUCUUUGCUGACGAGUGGCUCACGGGUGAGUAACGCGUGGGAAUCUACCUUGUAGUUGGGGAUAGCCCGGAGAAAUCCGGAUUAAUACCGAAUAAGAUCUACGGAUGAAAAGGUGCCUCUGCUUGCAAGCACUUGCUAUGACAUGAGCCCGCGUUAGAUUAAUUUGUUGGUGGGGUAACGGCCUACCAAGACUGCGAUCUAUAGCUGGUUUGAGAGGAUGAUCAGCAACAUUGGGACUGAGACACGGCCCAGACUCCUACGGGAGGCAGCAGUGGGGAAUAUUGGACAAUGGGCGCAAGCCUGAUCCAGCAAUACCGCGUGUGUGAAGAAGGCCUUAGGGUUGUAAAGCACUUUUAUGUGGGAAGAAGGGUUGAUAGUUAAUAGCAUUCAACUUUGACGGUACCACAAGAAUAAGCACCGGCUAACUCUGUGCCAGCAGCCGCGGUAAUACGGAGGGUGCGAGCGUUAAUCGGAAUUACUGGGCGUAAAGGGUACGUAUUGCGGCUUAAUAAGUCAG
This 543-nucleotide ribosomal RNA is filed under the name Marinicella sediminis. RNAcentral describes it as "bacterial SSU rRNA". It matches the Rfam family "Bacterial small subunit ribosomal RNA", at positions 62 to 591 of the family's 1533-position model. The record is from RNAcentral. Lineage: Bacteria; Pseudomonadati; Pseudomonadota; Gammaproteobacteria; Lysobacterales; Marinicellaceae.